UAGACUUUUAAGGUUCUAAUAAUGAAAGAGAGAAAAAAAAUGGUGAAGCAAAUUACUUUGUCCAUCUCCUAUAUUGUGUUUUCUUUGUAAUCAUCCCUGUAUUGGGAAAAGAUAAACAAAAUGCCACAGGUAAGUCCAAAUAAACGUCUUAACAAAUAUUUUAGUAGCUGAUUUGAAAAUUAACCGUGGUACCCAACAAUUUGAUUUGAAGGUUUAGUUACACUAGAUUAUUUAGUAUCAGUGUACAUAAAAGUUGGGACAACAUUUGACUAAGAUAUCAAGUGGGCUAAUUUAGCUUCUUCAAAAAAAAAAAAAACAUUUGACUACAAUACAUCCAUGAUUUAACUAGUGACUAAUUGGAUUUAGCUCCUCUUAACUGAGUCCACUUUAGAGGAUAAAAAAUGAACUUAUGACAGUUGGUUGGAAAAAAUAGUGUAUUGAACUAUGAAGUUGUUAACAUCUACCUUGUACUCCUGACUUUAGAGGAGUCAACUCCAGUCUACUUAAACAAAUUUGGUGGGUCUAACACCAUUUUAGAUUAAAUUGUAGGGAUUUUUAUUAUAAAUACAAGUACAUUUUUCUUCAUUUUUUUAUGGAAGAAAAGGUAAGUUGCUCAAAAGAAUUUAUACUUUUGCUAGAUGGAGGAAUAUUGUGUUGAUUAAAGAGAAGGCACAUAAGAUUCUUUAAAUUAUUUUCCAUUCUUGUAUGCUUCGCUGUUUUAUUUUUAGUGUGAACGUUGAUGUACUGGUAGUAGGUAUGCUAGAAAUAGUUUUUUUUUCCACUUUGUUGCAUUUCUUAGCAAGCCUUUGAAGACUUUUAAGUUAUUUUAAUGUCAGAAUUUUAUGGCAAAUCAAGGAGGAC
This 861-nucleotide long non-coding RNA is filed under the name Medicago truncatula (barrel medic). RNAcentral's name for it is "long non-coding RNA (MTRU_LNC004050)". The record is from RNAcentral. Lineage: Eukaryota; Viridiplantae; Streptophyta; Magnoliopsida; Fabales; Fabaceae.